RNAcentral lists this unclassified non-coding RNA (341 nucleotides) under Hevea brasiliensis (rubber tree). The record is from RNAcentral. Lineage: Eukaryota; Viridiplantae; Streptophyta; Magnoliopsida; Malpighiales; Euphorbiaceae.
CGAAGAAUCGCAUGAUCUCAGACCAUAUAUGUGGUAUAGGUCUCUUUUGACUUUUGGCUGCACCAAUCAAUGACUUGAGAUCUCCAUCUCCUUCCAGUGAAUCUUGCGCUUUUAUGUUACUGAAGUCCAUCCCCGGCGGUAUAACCACCAUCCUCGGCAUGUAUCUCCCGAGGCAACUCACUCCUCUCCGUCUCCUAACUCUGAGUUUCCUUUCCAGCUGAAUAUCAAAACCAUCAUACAAACCCCAUUGUUCGUCAAUCUCUUGUCUAGUGCUAGUAAUCACCAUUUCAGCAGUAUCUAGUCCCAACUCUUCUGCUUCUAUUCUCCUCAUUAUCUUGUAG